This 493-nucleotide ribosomal RNA is filed under the name uncultured bacterium. RNAcentral's name for it is "partial 16S ribosomal RNA". It matches the Rfam family "Bacterial small subunit ribosomal RNA", at positions 29 to 507 of the family's 1533-position model. The record is from RNAcentral.
ACGAACGCUGGCGGCGUGCUUAACACAUGCAAGUCGAACGGUGAAGCGCCUUCCUUUUUGGUGGGUGUGGAUGAGUGGCGAACGGGUGAGUAACACGUGAGUAACCUGCCCCCUUCUUCUGGAUAACCGCAUGAAAGUGUGGCUAAUACGGGAUAUUCUGGGUCUGUCGCAUGAUGGGUCUGGGAAAGAUAUUGUUUCGGUGGGGGAUGGGCUCGCGGCCUAUCAGCUUGUUGGUGGGGUGAUGGCCUACCAAGACGGUGACGGGUAGCCGGCCUGAGAGGGUGGACGGUCACACUGGGACUGAGACACGGCCCAGACUCCUACGGGAGGCAGCAGUGGGGAAUAUUGCACAAUGGGCGCAAGCCUGAUGCAGCGACGCCGCGUGAGGGAUGGAGGCCUUCGGGUUGUGAACCUCUUUCGCCAGUGAAGCAGGCCUGCCUCGUUUGUGGGUGGGUUGACGGUAGCUGGAUAAGAAGCGCCGGCUAACUACGUG